RNAcentral lists this ribosomal RNA (305 nucleotides) under Acanthamoeba castellanii. RNAcentral's name for it is "SSU rRNA". It matches the Rfam family "Eukaryotic small subunit ribosomal RNA", at positions 795 to 1087 of the family's 1831-position model. Lineage: Eukaryota; Discosea; Longamoebia; Acanthamoebidae. The record is from RNAcentral.
CCGAAUACAUUAGCAUGGGAUAAUGGAAUAGGACCCUGUCCUCCUAUUUUCAGUUGGUUUUGGCAGCGCGAGGACUAGGGUAAUGAUUAAUAGGGAUAGUUGGGGGCAUUAAUAUUUAAUUGUCAGAGGUGAAAUUCUUGGAUUUAUGAAAGAUUAACUUCUGCGAAAGCAUCUGCCAAGGAUGUUUUCAUUAAUCAAGAACGAAAGUUAGGGGAUCGAAGACGAUCAGAUACNGUCGUAGUCUUAACCAUAAACGAUGCCGACCAGCGAUUAGGAGACGUUGAAUACAAAACACCACCAUCGGC